GUUUGGUUAUGUUUUGCUUUAAUUCUUGCUCUAAACCCAAUCCUCUGCUUUAACAUAUUUUAAAUUAUCUAUUUAUGUGCGAAGUGAACUUUUCUGAACCAUGCUUAACCUUUAAAAUUAUGUUAUUCAAUAUUGCUCUUAUGAAUCAACUGCAAACAGAAUUCUGCAGUCAGAUUCUGAAAGCUUAUACUAUUGCUUUUUUCCUCAUUUUUGCUUUAGAACGUCUAGCGUUGUGGGAAAUGGUUUAAUAUUGACUACUAAUCCAAAUCGAUCUCUCUCAUCUUUCCGUUGUUUCCUAUGGUGUGAACCAUCUGCUCUAACUCAUCUUUCAAUGUAUGUAUGUCUACGAGGACGAUUUGGGGCUCAUAUGUUUGCUUUUUGCGUACCUUUUUCUGUUGCCCUGAUCUUAAUAUUAGCAUUUCUAGUGUGGGAAUUAGACAUGUGCAUUAAAGGCCUGGUCAACUUUUUAUUAGUUUAGCUUUGAGUUUAGCAGCUUGGACAUUUGGACUUUAGCUAUUCCCAAACAUGGCCCUAUUUGAUGGGAGACAAAUAUAAUGUUAUUAUUAAUUGGUGACUGUAUACCACAGCCAUUUAGUAGCUUUUUGAUAGAGGUUGUGCUCCUGAGUCUCCUACCUACAGCAGCGUUUUCUUCUUUAAAUAUAUUUGUUAAAAUAAUCUAAAAAAAACUCUAAAGGUACUAUUGGGCUGGGCUGGACACUAAUGGAAGCAUCCCAAGUCUACCCUGUAAAUUCCGAGCUGAGAAAAGGCUCAGGCCAGUUAUAUCAAAGACAAAAUUCCUUUGACCAAGCCCUACCUUUUCUCCAUGCAGGCCGAGUGGAUACCCAGACUCAGGGACAGGUCUAGUGGGAUUUCAUGUACUAACAAAAAAGCAUGAAGUGGUCUUUUUUUUCCAUUAGAAAAUAGCAAGAGGAUGGCAACUAGAGAUCAGUAUUCCACCAAUAAAUUUUCAUAUGAUUAAUAUAUGGUGUUGUUAGGUAAACUGGUAAUUGAUAGCUUGGUUAUCUUAUAGGGGUUUUAAAUUAGGCCUGUGAGAAAGUAACAAAUUGUUGGAGAGUAUUCUAAUAGGUCAAAGAUCUAGAAUCUUUUAAUGUAGUGAGCUUGGAUUUAAUUGAUUGUUACACAUGGUAGAAGGUUCAGAGAAGGCUUGUUACGUGAUCUAGCUAGGUGUUUUCUUGAUAUUGAUUCCACUGGAAAAAAUUUACAGCAGAUACUGUCGGUUUGUGAGUUGUGAAGUUUAUAUCAUGGCAAUUACUGCUUGUGAUCCUGGAUACAAACACACAAACAGUUUUUGGUGAACAUUGGACAUCCCUGGUUUAUAUAGGAUGCUCCAAUGGCAUGGACUAUGAGUAUAUUAGAUAGUAGUGUUGAGAGACUCUGUACAUAGUUUGAAUGGAAUAUGGUGAUUUUUUCUCUUCUUCUUCAUUCGGAUGUUCGCCCACCCCUGUC
Molecule: unclassified non-coding RNA, 1467 nt
Filed under: Hevea brasiliensis (rubber tree)
Lineage: Eukaryota; Viridiplantae; Streptophyta; Magnoliopsida; Malpighiales; Euphorbiaceae
Source: RNAcentral